RNAcentral lists this ribosomal RNA (465 nucleotides) under Vreelandella stevensii. RNAcentral's name for it is "partial 16S ribosomal RNA". It matches the Rfam family "Bacterial small subunit ribosomal RNA", at positions 338 to 795 of the family's 1533-position model. The record is from RNAcentral. Lineage: Bacteria; Pseudomonadati; Pseudomonadota; Gammaproteobacteria; Oceanospirillales; Halomonadaceae.
CCUACGGGGGGCAGCAGUGGGGAAUAUUGGACAAUGGGCGAAAGCCUGAUCCAGCCAUGCCGCGUGUGUGAAGAAGGCCUUCGGGUUGUAAAGCACUUUCAGUGGGGAAGAAAGCCUUGGGGCUAAUACCCUCGAGGAAGGACAUCACCCACAGAAGAAGCACCGGCUAACUCCGUGCCAGCAGCCGCGGUAAUACGGAGGGUGCGAGCGUUAAUCGGAAUUACUGGGCGUAAAGCGCGCGUAGGCGGUCUGAUAAGCCGGUUGUGAAAGCCCCGGGCUCAACCUGGGAACGGCAUCCGGAACUGGCAGGCUAGAGUGCAGGAGAGGAAGGUAGAAUUCCCGGUGUAGCGGUGAAAUGCGUAGAGAUCGGGAGGAAUACCAGUGGCGAAGGCGGCCUUCUGGACUGACACUGACGCUGAGGUGCGAAAGCGUGGGUAGCAAACAGGAUUAGAUACCCGUGUAGUC